GAUGAACGCUGGCGGCGUGCCUAAUACAUGCAAGUCGAGCGAACAGACGAGGAGCUUGCUCCUCUGACGUUAGCGGCGGACGGGUGAGUAACACGUGGAUAACCUACCUAUAAGACUGGGAUAACUUCGGGAAACCGGAUCUAAUACCGGAUAAUAUAUUGAACCGCAUGGUUCAAUAGAGAAAGACGGUUUUGCUGUCACUUAUAGAUGGAUCCGCGCCGCAUUAGCUAGUUGGUAAGGUAACGGCUUACCAAGGCAACGAUGCGUAGCCGACCUGAGAGGGUGAUCGGCCACACUGGAACUGAGACACGGUCCAGACUCCUACGGGAGGCAGCAGUAGGGAAUCUUCCGCAAUGGGCGAAAGCCUGACGGAGCAACGCCGCGUGAGUGAUGAAGGUCUUCGGAUCGUAAAACUCUGUUAUUAGGGAAGAACAAAUGUGUAAGUAACUAUGCACGUCUUGACGGUACCUAAUCAGAAAGCAACGGCUAACUUCGUG
RNAcentral lists this ribosomal RNA (497 nucleotides) under uncultured bacterium. RNAcentral describes it as "partial 16S ribosomal RNA". It matches the Rfam family "Bacterial small subunit ribosomal RNA", at positions 28 to 507 of the family's 1533-position model. The record is from RNAcentral.